Molecule: long non-coding RNA, 1199 nt
Filed under: Equus caballus (horse)
Lineage: Eukaryota; Metazoa; Chordata; Mammalia; Perissodactyla; Equidae
Description: lncRNA (ENSECAG00000055191.1)
Source: RNAcentral
GAGCAGGCAGGGUCCUACUGGCAUCUAGUGGGUAGAGGCCAGCUUGCUAAACAUCCUAUAGUCACAGGUUGCCCCCCUAGUAGAGAAUUACGAGGCUCAAACGUCAAUAGCGCUGAGGUUGAGACACCCAGCUGUAAGAGAAUGAAGCCUUUGGGAGGUAAGAAGCUGAGAGUGGAAGGUGAUGUGACCAUGGUUGCAUUUUGAAAAUUUCCUCUGGCAGCAGUCUGGAAAGUGGAACGGUCUACUGCUACUAAUAGCAACAGCAGCAGCUGCUGCCUCUUUAUUGAGUACCUUCUGUGAUGCGCUAGACACUAUGCCAAGCCCUUUAUGAGCAUCCUCUCACUGUAUCCCACAGAAGCCCCAUUUUAUAGAUGAAUGUAGUGAGUGCCGGAGAGGGCAACUCAUUCACCUGAGAUCGCCCAGCUGGAAAGUGGAAGCCUAUGAUGGUUCUUUAGCCAGGCAGCUGCUUCCUCCUGGAAGAGCAGGGACAGGCUUCCAGCUGGUCCAGCUGCAGCUCAGAGACCCUCAUUCCAUCCUUCCUGUGGACUAAGGGGCUGAUUCCUGUUGAGCAUCAUGUCUCCCAGCCACAAACUGUUUGGACAGCGUACUUCUCUCCCACAAAUGACACGAGAAUGACAUGCCUAAUCACGCCUGCCGCAUGGAAUUAUUCUGGAGAGUAAACAGUAACAGCGCCCCAAUUUCCUUUGUGGAGCCACCUCUCCAUCAGUUUCAGUCCAUAUCAUCUUCUGCGGUUGAUGCUCUGCCCACUCCAGGUCACAUGACCUCACGUGGCCAAUCAGCAUGUUCCAGUCCAGUCCGCGGAAUCCGUGACUGGUUCCCCACAGGCACCGGCCCAGUCUCCCCACUGAUGCUCAAUCCUACGCGAUCUGAGUGUUUUGGAGGAAGAAAAUCUCUUUCCACUGGAAUUGCUAGCUUAGAAGGUCUGUGUUUGACCAGGGAUCACCUCACAAGGACAGCCAGUCUGAGAGUAAAGCCAACAGAGAAGAAAGUAGAACCCAGAAAAGUCGCGACGUGUCCUGAAAAGGUCAUGUGAGUCUCUAGAUCCACCCGUGCCUGAAGCUUGUGCACCCUUGGACUUUUCACAUACACAAACCAAUAAAUUCCAGUUUUUGCUUAAGCUGCUUUCAACUGAGGUUUCUGACACUUGCAACCAAGGCGUUUCAACAGCUAAUCCUCAG